CGCGACCCCAGGUCAAGCGGGGCUACCCGCUGAGUUUAAGCAUAUCAAUAAGUGG
This 55-nucleotide ribosomal RNA is filed under the name Myrcia caudata. Its description in RNAcentral is "Marlierea caudata partial 28S ribosomal RNA". The record is from RNAcentral. Lineage: Eukaryota; Viridiplantae; Streptophyta; Magnoliopsida; Myrtales; Myrtaceae.